RNAcentral lists this ribosomal RNA (253 nucleotides) under uncultured bacterium. Its description in RNAcentral is "partial 16S ribosomal RNA". It matches the Rfam family "Bacterial small subunit ribosomal RNA", at positions 524 to 776 of the family's 1533-position model. The record is from RNAcentral.
UACGUAGGGUGCAAGCGUUGUCCGGAAUUAUUGGGCGUAAAGAGCUCGUAGGCGGUUUGUCGCGUCGGCUGUGAAAACCCGAGGCUCAACCUCGGGCCUGCAGUCGAUACGGGCAAACUAGAGUGCGGUAGGGGAGACUGGAAUUCCUGGUGUAGCGGUGAAAUGCGCAGAUAUCAGGAGGAACACCGGUGGCGAAGGCGGGUCUCUGGGCCGUAACUGACGCUGAGGAGCGAAAGCAUGGGGAGCGAACAGG